GGCCAGCCUAGUCCGACGUGACAAACAGCGGACUUCCCACCCGCCUGGUUGGCCGGCUACUUCAAAAAG
This 69-nucleotide small RNA is filed under the name Metapseudomonas resinovorans NBRC 106553. RNAcentral's name for it is "Pseudomonas resinovorans NBRC 106553 int-alpA RNA". It matches the Rfam family "int-alpA RNA". Rfam says of the family: Acidobacteria (1 example), Planctomycetes (1 example), Proteobacteria. Environment (Lake Washington) The record is from Rfam by way of RNAcentral. Lineage: Bacteria; Pseudomonadati; Pseudomonadota; Gammaproteobacteria; Pseudomonadales; Pseudomonadaceae.